CAGAACUUAGCAGUACAUGCUUCGUUCAGCUUCGUGUGAACUGUGAGAACCGUGCUGGAAGGCUGUCGUCAGCUCGUGUCUGUGAAAUGUUUGGGUUAAAGUCCCCCAAAGGANAUUUAACCCUUAAUCGUUGNGUGCCAGCGGUUCAGGCCGGGAACUCGAAAGGAGACUGCCAGUGAUAAACUGGAGGAAGGUGGGGAUGACGUCAAGUCAUCAUGGCCCUUACGACCAGGGCUACACACGUGCUACAAUGGCAUAUACAAAGAGAAGCGACCUCGGGAGGAGCAAGCGGACUUNUAAAGUAUGUCGUAGUCCGGAUUGGAGUCUGCGAAGUCGACGUCCAAUGAAGUCGGAAUCGCUAGGUAAAAUCGGUAGGAUCAGGAAUGC
Molecule: ribosomal RNA, 387 nt
Filed under: Klebsiella sp. LGI4RJ
Lineage: Bacteria; Pseudomonadati; Pseudomonadota; Gammaproteobacteria; Enterobacterales; Enterobacteriaceae
Description: bacterial SSU rRNA
Rfam family: Bacterial small subunit ribosomal RNA
Source: RNAcentral